Molecule: ribosomal RNA, 373 nt
Filed under: uncultured organism
Description: partial 16S ribosomal RNA
Rfam family: Bacterial small subunit ribosomal RNA
Source: RNAcentral
GUAGGUGGCAAGCGUCGUCCGGAAUUAUUGGGCGUAAAGCGCGCGCAGGCGGUCCUUUAAGUCUGAUGUGAAAGCCCACGGCUCAACCGUGGAGGGUCAUUGGAAACUGGGGGACUUGAGUACAGAAGAGGAAAGCGGAAUUCCAAGUGUAGCGGUGAAAUGCGUAGAGAUUUGGAGGAACACCAGUGGCGAAGGCGGCUUUCUGGUCUGUAACUGACGCUGAGGCGCGAAAGCGUGGGGAGCAAACAGGAUUAGAUACCCUGGUAGUCCACGCCGUAAACGAUGAGUGCUAAGUGUUAGGGGGUUUCCCGCCCCCUUAGUGCUGCAGCUAACGCAUUAAGCACUCCGCCUGGGGAGUACGGCCGCAAGGCUG